Molecule: non-coding RNA, 36 nt
Organism: Callithrix jacchus (white-tufted-ear marmoset)
Lineage: Eukaryota; Metazoa; Chordata; Mammalia; Primates; Cebidae
Source: Rfam
CGGUUUCCUGCUUCAGCAGUGCUUGGACGGAACCCG